This 253-nucleotide ribosomal RNA is filed under the name uncultured bacterium. RNAcentral's name for it is "partial 16S ribosomal RNA". It matches the Rfam family "Bacterial small subunit ribosomal RNA", at positions 524 to 776 of the family's 1533-position model. The record is from RNAcentral.
UACGAAGGGUGCAAGCGUUACUCGGAAUUACUGGGCGUAAAGCGUGCGUAGGUGGUGAGUUAAGCCUGUCGUGAAAGCCCCGGGCUCAACCUGGGAAUGGCGAUGGAUACUGGCUCGCUAGAGUGCGGUAAAGGAGAGUGGAAUUCCCGGUGUAGCAGUGAAAUGCGUAGAGAUCGGGAGGAACAUCAGUUGCGAAGGCGGCUCUCUGGACCAGCACUGACGCUGAGGAGCGAAAGCCAGGGGAGCAAACGGG